RNAcentral lists this ribosomal RNA (492 nucleotides) under uncultured bacterium. RNAcentral's name for it is "partial 16S ribosomal RNA". It matches the Rfam family "Bacterial small subunit ribosomal RNA", at positions 29 to 507 of the family's 1533-position model. The record is from RNAcentral.
AGUGAACGCUGGCGGUAGGCCUAACACAUGCAAGUCGAACGGCAGCACAGUAAGAGCUUGCUCUUACGGGUGGCGAGUGGCGGACGGGUGAGGAAUACAUCGGAAUCUACUUUUUCGUGGGGGAUAACGUAGGGAAACUUACGCUAAUACCGCAUACGACCUACGGGUGAAAGCAGGGGAUCUUCGGACCUUGCGCGAUUGAAUGAGCCGAUGUCGGAUUAGCUAGUUGGCGGGGUAAAGGCCCACCAAGGCGACGAUCCGUAGCUGGUCUGAGAGGAUGAUCAGCCACACUGGAACUGAGACACGGUCCAGACUCCUACGGGAGGCAGCAGUGGGGAAUAUUGGACAAUGGGCGAAAGCCUGACCCAGCAAUACCGCGUGGGUGAAGAAGGCCUUCGGGUUGUAAAGCCCUUUUGUUGGGAAAGAAAAGCAGCAGGUGAAUACCCCGAUGUUCUGACGGUACCCAAAGAAUAAGCACCGGCUAACUUCGUG